AAAUAAUAAAACAAAUAAAUAAAGAUAUUUCUUUAUACUUUUUUAGAAUAAAGCAUUUCAAUUUUUGUGUGUUCGGGAAAACAGAACUGUCACGGCCAAGCUAAAUAUAUAAAUACAUUUAAUCUUAAAUAAAGCUGCAUUUCCAUGCCAUGUGUUCACGAAAACAUUGUCAUUGGCUAAAAAUAUAAUAAAUAAUAUAUUAUAAGAAACAAAAAAGAUUAAUUACUUGCAUAAUAGUUAUAGUUAAAAUGUUUUUCAAGUUAAAGACAUAAACAGCCAAAAUCAAACACUAUCAAGCAUUGGUAAAACCACUGAAUAGCUAUAAACCGCAUAACUACAGGCUGUAAAAAGGUCUGGGUGGUAGAUAGAUGUUUUUGUUUACUGUAGCCGGUAAACAAAGCUCUAAUUCAAGCAAAAUGAUUCCAGCAUGUGCGACAGAAUUUGUGGGAUUUAAUGAUGUGUAUCAAUGCCUUUAAGACAUAACCGGCUUGUAUAGUGAGUGGAACUGUGUUGCAUGGAGUGCAAAUGUUUGAAACUGUCCACAGAUGUCUUAUAAGACUUCUGGUAAGAAAUGCAAACCGUGUGUGUGUGUGUGUGAGAGAGAGAGUGAGUGUGUUUUUGAAGAGCUAGCUUUAAUUUAAUGUCACCAUGGCCCACUAGAAGAAAAGGAGUUUAACCUUAGAUCGUAAAAAAGGAGUUGUUUGACUUCACAGUGUCAGGCUUUGAAUUGCCUGCAUUCUGAGUGAAUGGAAAAGUCAUGUCAGGAAGGUUGUUUUGAGGGCAGCAGAUCUGAAAAGUCUGUAAACAAUGACUCAUCGGCAUGUGCCUGAGUGCAAAGGAAGGCAGAUCUCCUGUCCAUGUCGCUCACAGGAAGAGAACACAAUCAGGCCUCUGUUUUAGACUCAUAAAUUAGAUAUUCAUGCUUCAUAAGAAGCCGCCCAUAGGCCAACCACACUGUGUAAUACACAGAAGGGGUCUUUCUAUCUGCUCAAUAUGGAUUAAUCUAACAGUCUAUCACACAUCAGAAAUAAACUCGACAACAAGCCAGUCAAUGCAUGUUUCUAGAGCACUGGCUUUCAUCUUUGCUGCUAUAGAGUGAGUCACCUCACAAUAAUCAUGUCUUUAACGUCACUUGUUCUUAAGUGAAGCAUUAUUAUACAGUCUUGAAGUCCUUUCUCUGUCAAACCACCAUCUGAGAACAAUAGCAUCACCCAGUUCUUCAGGACACAUGCUACAUUUAACGUCUUUCUAUUUCUGUAUGAUCAGGGAUCAGAAGUACACCCUGUAAAGGACACUGUUGACUUCACCCUAAGAAAACAGAAUUUGGAGAAAUCUUCAGAGGGCCUUACUAGACCAACUGUGAUUCACUCUUUGCAGUCACAUGUGCAAAUUGAACUUGUUCUAGCACUUCCAGUAUUUUUCCUAUUUGUGAUCAGUAUGUUUGGAGUAACCUAGAAUAACUGCCAAGAAAAACAUGAUUAUGAGCCACAUGAGUGAUUGAGCAUCUGUUUUUGUAGAGAAAUGAUUGUAGUUUAAUGUGUGUACUACCUUGGUUAAAAAGCAACAUUGCUGAAAUUCAUUGUUACUAAUAAUAAGAUGUCUUUAGAACCAACAUUUGAAAUGGAUGCUUCUAGGUCUUGCCGUUUUUGUGGUUUGCUGCACAGAGGUUGUAUUUUGUGGUUGCUUGGGACAACUGAAGCCUUCUCUACUACUGCCCAUGUGCUCCUAAACUGGAGGAAGUACUGCUAGCCUAAAGGGGAAGAGAGAACCACAGGCAACAGGAAAGAAAACCAGCACCGAUCCUCUUUCUGUGCAUCUCUGACAUAAUGUCAGCAAUGGCUGGAAUUUAGUCAUUACAUUCUUUUCUUUUUUACAACCACAUACACUACAGCUAUUGUUCGUAUUUUUAAAUAAUAGUGAAGUGAAUUGUAGAUUAGAAAUUAUGAAGUAACCAAAAAUAUUUGCCAAAUCAAAACUCUUAUUUUAGUUUCUUAAAAGUGGUCCUCCUAAAAGUCAUCCCUGAAAGUCAUUUUCUUUCCCAAUUUGACCCAACUUGUCCAUAAACAAAAUAAAUAAACAGAGU
Molecule: long non-coding RNA, 2083 nt
Organism: Carassius auratus (goldfish)
Lineage: Eukaryota; Metazoa; Chordata; Actinopteri; Cypriniformes; Cyprinidae
Source: Ensembl